RNAcentral lists this ribosomal RNA (341 nucleotides) under uncultured bacterium. Its description in RNAcentral is "bacterial SSU rRNA". It matches the Rfam family "Bacterial small subunit ribosomal RNA", at positions 29 to 394 of the family's 1533-position model. The record is from RNAcentral.
AACGAACGCUGGCGGCAGGCCUAACACAUGCAAGUCGAACGCCCUAGCAAUAGGGAGUGGCAGACGGGUGAGUAACACGUGGGAACCUUCCCUAUAGUACGGAAUAUACCAGGGAAACUUGGAGCAAUACCGUAUACGCCCGAGAGGGGAAAGAUUUAUCGCUAUAGGAUGGGCCCGCGUAGGAUUAGCUAGUUGGUGAGGUAAUGGCUCACCAAGGCGACGAUCCUUAGCUGGUUUGAGAGAACGACCAGCCACACUGGGACUGAGACACGGCCCAGACUCCUACGGGAGGCAGCAGGUGGGGGAGUCUUGCGCUAAUGCGCGAAAGCGUGACGCAGCGA